RNAcentral lists this ribosomal RNA (497 nucleotides) under uncultured bacterium. RNAcentral's name for it is "partial 16S ribosomal RNA". It matches the Rfam family "Bacterial small subunit ribosomal RNA", at positions 28 to 507 of the family's 1533-position model. The record is from RNAcentral.
GAUGAACGCUGGCGGCGUGCCUAAUACAUGCAAGUAGAACGCUGAAGGAAGGAGCUUGCUCUUUCCGGAUGAGUUGCGAACGGGUGAGUAACGCGUAGGUAACCUGCCUGGUAGCGGGGGAUAACUAUUGGAAACGAUAGCUAAUACCGCAUAACAGUAGAUGUUGCAUGAUAUCUACUUAAAAGGUGCAAUUGCACCACUACCAGAUGGACCUGCGUUGUAUUAGCUAGUUGGUGAGGUAACGGCUCACCAAGGCGACGAUACAUAGCCGACCUGAGAGGGUGAUCGGCCACACUGUGACUGAGACACGGCCCAGACUCCUACGGGAGGCAGCAGUAGGGAAUCUUCGGCAAUGGACGGAAGUCUGGCCGAGCAACGCCGCGUGAGUGAAGAAGGUUUUCGGAUCGUAAAGCUCUGUUGUAAGAGAAGAGCGAGUGUGAGAGUGGAAAGUUCACACUGUGACGGUAUCUUACCAGAAAGGGACGGCUAACUACGUG